UACGGAGGGUGCAAGCGUUAUCCGGAUUCACUGGGUUUAAAGGGUGCGUAGGUGGGUUGGUAAGUCAGUGGUGAAAUCUCCGGGCUUAACUCGGAACGGUCAAGUGAUACUGUCGUGCUAGAGUACAGAAGGGGCAACUGGAAUUCUCGGUGUAGCGGUGAAAUGCGUAGAUAUCGAGAGGAACACCUGCGGCGAAGGCGGGUUGCUGGGCUGAUACUGACGCUGAUGCGCGAAAGCCAGGGGAGCGAACGGG
RNAcentral lists this ribosomal RNA (253 nucleotides) under uncultured bacterium. Its description in RNAcentral is "partial 16S ribosomal RNA". It matches the Rfam family "Bacterial small subunit ribosomal RNA", at positions 524 to 776 of the family's 1533-position model. The record is from RNAcentral.